RNAcentral lists this ribosomal RNA (112 nucleotides) under Caerostris darwini. Lineage: Eukaryota; Metazoa; Arthropoda; Arachnida; Araneae; Araneidae. The record is from RNAcentral.
AACGGCCGUACCAUGCUGAAUAUACCGGUUCUCGUUAGAUCACCGAAGUUAAGCAUCAUUGGGCGCGGUCAGUACUUGGGUGGGUGACCACCUGGGAACACUGCGUGCUGUU